CCCCCCCGCCCCCCCCCCCCCACAUUCAGCCAAUCACAUCUGCAGGACCUCGUAGCAAACUUGUCGGGGUCUCUAGGUAAAACAAGAGUCCAACCGAGCCGCCUUAGGUACUCAAAUGACACCCGAGGUCCGUAGCAGAUGGAUGGAAUGAGAAAGGACCUGCGAGCUCCCGGCGGAAUUCGCUGGCAGCUGUAGGAGGCUCUGGUGUUUUGGUUUCUUUGACAUUUUCCCUGCUUCAAAGCUGAGAGCGGGAGUCAGGGAUUGGGCGAACUUCAACGUGUUCGGUUACAAGAAGGAAUUAUGAGACUAGAACAGUACAUCCAGAAGACCCAGCAAAGCAUACCACGCCACGGACAUGCAAAUGGGUAAAAUUAAAACGGAUGCCAGAAACGAUAAUAGAUUUUAAACAUGAUGCAGUUUCAUUUCCUGAACCCUUAUAUAGUGCCUUAACUGUUCCCCAGGUACUGUAUCUCCACAUCCAGAAACCUAACAUGAGGAUCUGUACUUAACAGCUCACCUAGGACCAAGAAGCCUUCAGUAAGAGAUUUGUGAAACCCAUUCUGGAGUAAGGGGUCCCCUGCUGCUGGCUGCUCCACAGUGUUUGAAAAUCAGGGGCUGGAAUAGCCCAGAGUCCAGGAGCCCCAAGGCAUGUAGCUCCUGGCUUGUACUUACAUCAUUCUUAACCCUUCCGCACCUGGAAGGGGCUCAACGGGAUCAGGAUGCCCCCGAGCUCCGGAACACGCAGGACCUAGGUGUAAGAGAAGAGCCUCAGGGUUCCGUGUGAGCGCUGAGCCCCAGGAGAGAAAGACUGCGGAUAGCGCAGGAGGUUCAUAACCCGCGCUUACAGCCGGGGCCCCUUGAUCCCUACAGACUCCAGUGCGGCUAGCCUCUGGCUCGCAAGGCUAGAAGCAGCAGGUGCAAAAAGCAUUUGGGAGCCGCUUGCCAGUGCUUGGAGGUAAUGCGCUUCCUGUCCAUUUAUCUCAGGAAACCAGCGCAGCCUUCCCUUCGAAACAAAAUUAACCUCUCAUUAGCCAGCCACUCACUCCCAAGAAGGCCUUAAAAGCUUUACCCUCUCGCUAAUGUAUUUAGGCUCUUCUUCCAGGCAAACGAAGCCGAGGCUGUGACUAACAUCAGCCCCAGGGGUUCCAAUGGGCUCCCUCAGGAGCCAGCCGCUAGCCUUUCACCAGCCUAGCCUGGGAAACUGGCCAACCCCGGACACCAGUUUGUAGAAACAGGGCGACCCGACACCCCUGAACGAACUUCACACCCCCCAAAACCCCAGGACAAGUUUCCUCUCUUUUCUUGGGCCCCUUUCUCAUCAACCCCCAGCUCCAUUGCUCUCAAGGGAUAGGGAAGGGAAGCUGUGGAAACUUCAGUGGCCAGCUGUCCCCGGGUCAUGGGCGACGACUGUCCCUAGGGAAGCGUCCUUGGAAAGCUGGGGGUCGGGGACAGCCUUCGUUAAACUGUAGUCAGUUCCAGGCAUUGCGAAUUAAACGUGGCCAGGAGCUUUUGGAACGCUGGGGCUUCCUCACCCUGGGCCCCACCGCCCCGAUCCUGGCAGAUUUAUACCACACAGGUGGACGGAGACCUAAACAAAACAGUCCCAGCCACUGCCUGCCGCUCGCCCCCCACGUCCUCCUGGCCCACCGCAAACUUCAACAAAAUAAACAACUCACCACAGGCA
Molecule: long non-coding RNA, 1684 nt
Organism: Peromyscus eremicus (cactus mouse)
Lineage: Eukaryota; Metazoa; Chordata; Mammalia; Rodentia; Cricetidae
Exons: 2
Source: RefSeq, a predicted model, not a curated record